AUUGAACGCUGGCGGCAUGCUUUACGCAUGCAAGUCGAACGGGCUGGGGGCAACUCCAGUCAGUGGCGAACGGGUGAGUAAUGCAUCGGAACGUGUCCCGUAGUGGGGGAGUAACCCGGCGAAAGCCGGACUAAUACCGCAUAUGCUCUACGGAGGAAAGUGGGGACCGCGAAGGCCUCACGCUAUGGAGCGGCCGAUGUCCGAUUAGCUUGUUGGUGGGGUAAUGGCCUACCAAGGCGACGAUCGGUAGCUGGUCUGAGAGGAUGAUCAGCCACACUGGGACUGAGACACGGCCCAGACU
Molecule: ribosomal RNA, 301 nt
Filed under: uncultured bacterium
Lineage: Bacteria
Description: bacterial SSU rRNA
Rfam family: Bacterial small subunit ribosomal RNA
Source: RNAcentral